RNAcentral lists this ribosomal RNA (479 nucleotides) under uncultured anaerobic ammonium-oxidizing bacterium. RNAcentral describes it as "bacterial SSU rRNA". It matches the Rfam family "Bacterial small subunit ribosomal RNA", at positions 364 to 833 of the family's 1533-position model. The record is from RNAcentral.
UUUCGCAAUGCCCGAAAGGGUGACGAAGCGACGCCGCGUGAGUGAGGAAGGCCUUCGGGUUGUAAAGCUCUGUCAGGAGUUAAGAAAUAUAAGUGUGUUAAUACCACAUUUAUUUGACGAAGGCUCCAAAGGAAGCCACGGCUAACUCUGUGCCAGCAGCCGCGGUAAUACAGAGGUGGCAAGCGUUGUUCGGAAUUAUUGGGCGUAAAGAGCACGUAGGUGGGUUUGUAAGUCAGAUGUGAAAGCCUUCUGUUCAACGGAAGAAUUGCAUCUGAAACUGCGAGUCUUGAGUGUAGGAGGGGAGAAUGGAACUUCUGGUGGAGCGGUGAAAUGCGUAGAUAUCAGAAGGAACGCCGGCGGCGAAAGCGAUUCUCUGGCCUAUUACUGACACUCGGUGUGCGAAAGCUAGGGGAGCAAGCGGGAUUAGAUGCCCCGGUAGUCCUAGCUGUAAACGAUGGGCACUAAGUAGAGGGGUUUUA